This 1873-nucleotide long non-coding RNA is filed under the name Daphnia pulicaria. RNAcentral's name for it is "uncharacterized LOC124344499, transcript variant X3". Lineage: Eukaryota; Metazoa; Arthropoda; Branchiopoda; Diplostraca; Daphniidae. The record is from RNAcentral.
UUUCGUGAGUGUUAAUGGCGUCCUUGUUUCUUUGAUGAGUUGAAAUUUUCCUGCUGUCAUUGCUGACAAUCAUGAUUUUAUAUAAAGAUUGAAUUGGACACCGAUCCUUUAUCACAAAACCAAUAAUUAUCAAAACACCAAUCAGUGCAUGACGAGCUUUCUGCAAACAGAGUUGAUUUAAGAAUUAAUUUGUCAUUUUUUACGUUAUCACAAAAUCAGCAAUGAUUGAGUGCACGAAAAGCUUGGUACAGAGUUGAUUACUGGAUUUUUAUUGUUUUACAAUUAUCACAAACCCAGCAAUCAUUAUCACAAAAUUAGCAAUCAGUAAGUGCACGAUGAGCUUGGUUCAAAGUGGAUAUUGAAUUUUUCAUGUUAUACAGUUAUCAAUAAACCAAUCAUUGUCACAAAACCAAUCAUCAUCAAAAUUUUGGGGGCAAUCCUUUGAUGCAUAUUGUGUGAUACCAUCCUUCACAACCCUUUGUGUUCAAUCCGAUGAGCUCCAACCCCUUUUUCUCCAAUCCGGUUCGGCGACAACAGCUCUUCUUCUUGAACAAUCUCCAUAGACGUCUUGGCUCGGAUUGGAUCCGAUGGAAAUGGCGUUAAGGUUCCCGAAACCAAACCGUCCAUCAGGUGCGCACACAACUUCUUUGUGUUGUAUAAUCUGUUUUCGGGUUCUUCUCCGUUGGCCAAACUUGUGGCAAAAGCAAUGGCCGAGACUCCGCAAUCAUAUCCGUUACUUUGACGCUGACGAGAUUUGCAGAGAUUGCGAGAUUCGAGAGACUCGACAUGCAGCUUAGGAUGUGGUCGUUCUUCCAUGGCGUGCUGGGCAUACUGUCAUAACCCAGGACGUGGUUAGGUUAGAAAAACCUUUAGCGACACACACCCAAUGGUUUGACCCUUUUUGGAUUAUUUGCAACCAUUGGUCGCCCUGCGCGGGAGGGAAUUCAAGUGUCACCCCCAUUGUGGAGCAAUACAACCCUCCGAUCGUUGGAUGAAUUCUUUUCAGGAUCACUUGGGCCAAUUUGAUGUCGCCCGUGUUUAGAUAAUUUUUGUUCGUUAUCACUUGGGGCUUAUCCAAGAAGAGAUGUGGCUCUCUGAUUCUGGUUCUAUGUGUUUUGGCUUGCGAUAAGUUUUUAGAACCUAUCAAUAGACGGAUCAUCAAUCGUAGCAGCGUCCACUUUGCAUUUUCCGUCGGCAGACAAAUCGUAUGGUGAAACGGUGGAAGCUUCCACUACGCAACUUUCGUCCGCAAGAGGACUAUCAGCGGGUGAGGAAGUGAUGAGAUCAAUGUUAUUGCACGUUUCUUCCUCUCGUGCAAUGGCCUCGGCUUCCUCGUUCAGGAUUGCCGCUUCUACUUCCAAUCGAUCAUCGAAGUCGUUUCUUUCCAGUCUUUUCUUUUUUGCCUGCUUGUGGUAUGGGUGGAAGUAGCCUUUGUUCUCCUUCAGCCUGCCCCGUUUUCUUGUUGCAACCGGCAAAUGAAGGGCUGCCCUUGACGAGAUCUACAAGCAAAUCAGUACUGUCAUCAGUAGUAGGAGGUUCUUCAUUAAGAUCAGCUCUACCUUCUUCCUUUUUACCUCUUGUCGACUUGACUGGACCAACUGAAUUGGCUUAUCCGUCUUGAUCAGGGUGUGUAUGUCGUGAAACAGCCUCAUCUUCUCCUGGAAAUCUGGUAUGGUCAGGGAACUGAUUGAAAAAACAGAGCAAUGUAGACUUUUUAUUUCUUUUGUAUUGUGGUGGUUAAAAAAUCCGAAGCGUGGACUUUUUCUCGUUCUGUGAAAAUUCAUUAUUCCUUGUUUUGAUGUUCUGUUUGACAACAAUUAAUUUAUGAGUUAUUGUUCCUGAUGAACCAAAUAUAAAAUAGAUUUUUUCUCUA